RNAcentral lists this small RNA (84 nucleotides) under Moheibacter sediminis. Its description in RNAcentral is "Flavo-1 RNA". It matches the Rfam family "Flavo-1 RNA". The record is from Rfam by way of RNAcentral. Lineage: Bacteria; Pseudomonadati; Bacteroidota; Flavobacteriia; Flavobacteriales; Weeksellaceae.
CUUUAACCCUGUCACAGGGAUUGUAAUGGAAACCCCGCAUCCUCCGCAUCGGAAGAGGAGUUGCAAUGUAAAGCCCGACCCUGA